UUUAGUGAGUUGGUUCAAAUUUUGUAAUGUAAUGUACAUCUCUGUAAUGUAUGCAGGUACAAGCUUUCAGCUUCUACUUUGGCUUAUACAAAAAUGUGUACAUUCAACACCAGUGUUGCUUGAAGGUGCUACCCUGGCGCUGGACAACACUGGUGCUGUCUCACUGCCCUUGAACAUCUACAUGCUCACAACAUCCAUACCACAUACCAGAUUCUCUACCUUGAAAAUCAGGGUGUGUUUGUAUUUAUGUGGACACUUACAUGACUGCAUCAUCCCUUGGUGGCUGCAAGGAAAUUUGAGCCCCAGGCACCUUAUCCAGAGUCCUUCCUGGGCUGGGCUAUAGAGGAAUGGUUGUACCCACAGCAGAAGGAAAGCAAAGGGUCCAAACAGCAGCUCUGCAAAGCCUUGUGUAUGGGAAGUAGGCAGAAACAAACCUGGAGGUCCCUGCUCUGGUAAGUGUCUUUUGUUCUUCAAGAGGACAUUACAGAUCUCUUUUAUUCAUAC
RNAcentral lists this long non-coding RNA (504 nucleotides) under Anas platyrhynchos platyrhynchos (common mallard). RNAcentral describes it as "lncRNA (ENSAPLG00000017441.1)". The record is from RNAcentral. Lineage: Eukaryota; Metazoa; Chordata; Aves; Anseriformes; Anatidae.